CCCUUAGAUGUCCUGGGCGGCCCGCGCGCUACAAUGUCAGCUACUGAAGGUUAAUGCUUUGAAAGAGAGCGCGCUCUCCUUUUAAUUGCUCGCAUGCUGGGAUAAAUGAAUGCAAUUUUGUUUUUAACGAGGAAUUCCUAGUAGCCAUGUUUCACUAGAAGAUGGCGAAUGCGUCCCUGCCCUUUGUACACACCGCCCGUCGCUCCUACCGAUGAGCGUUUUGGCGAAGACGGUUUGAGUAGCUGCGUAAUUUCGUGUUGUUGACUCCGGCAGUUUGAGCCUUCACGUUUAGAGGAAGGAGAAGUCGUAACA
RNAcentral lists this ribosomal RNA (312 nucleotides) under uncultured eukaryote. RNAcentral describes it as "partial 18S ribosomal RNA". It matches the Rfam family "Eukaryotic small subunit ribosomal RNA", at positions 1470 to 1796 of the family's 1831-position model. The record is from RNAcentral.